This 166-nucleotide ribosomal RNA is filed under the name uncultured bacterium. RNAcentral's name for it is "partial 16S ribosomal RNA". It matches the Rfam family "Bacterial small subunit ribosomal RNA", at positions 1327 to 1500 of the family's 1533-position model. The record is from RNAcentral.
UGGAUUCGCUAGUAAUCGCGCAUCAGCCACGGCGCGGUGAAUACGUUCCCGGGCCUUGUACACACCGCCCGUCAAGCCAUGGGAGCCGGGGGUACCUGAAGUGCGUAACCGCGAGGAGCGCCCUAGGGUAAAACUGGUGACUGGGGCUAAGUCGUAACAAGGUAUC